RNAcentral lists this long non-coding RNA (1054 nucleotides) under Pan troglodytes (chimpanzee). RNAcentral's name for it is "lncRNA (ENSPTRG00000053489.1)". The record is from RNAcentral. Lineage: Eukaryota; Metazoa; Chordata; Mammalia; Primates; Hominidae.
AAUGAGUAAUGCUAAUGUUUGUUGAAAUCUUGAAGCCCUGACUUUCUGUUCAGAGGAAGAGCAGUGAACUCGAUCUCCUCUUUAACUGUGUGGGCCACUGCUAGGGCCCUGCAGCCAGCAAUCCCACAGUCUCUCCUGCUGGAUUAAGUGGCCGAUGCCUGACACGGCCUGGUAUUUCGGGUGGGGAGGUAGGAAAUAAUAAGCAGUGAUUUCAUUUGUUUCUACAAAUUACAGCUGGUGUGCUGAGUCCUUCCUUGGGGCCUUGUGUCAAGGGCUCGGGACCCUGCUGGGGCAGGGGAGGCAGCUCCUGCUCAGUUGCCAUCAGUGAUGAGUGUGACACGUGCAAUGUACAAGUCCCCUAAAUGUUUACAUGCCACGAUGAGGCAUUUUAAUAGGUAAAAAAUUAAAAUCCAUACUUUUUCUGUCUUUAAAGCACAGCUCAAAAUGGCCUCUGCAGAAUAAACGGAAUGAGCUAGGUGUGGAACUCCAGGCACAGCAGUCAAUUAAGGGCUGUUCAUUAACAUUUCAAGCACUGCAGAUAGGGCAUUGUGAGAGCAGCGAUGAUGAUGUCUGCAAUGUGCUUGGCCCUUCAUAUGUGUCUGAUCCAGUUUACUUUCGGGGACAUCCGUCAUCACCAUUGGAAUCCAGACACACACCAUGAAACGAACAAAGCCUAAAGCUGACUUCGCAGAUAAGGAAACUGAACUGAAGGGCAGAAACCAAGUGAAGAGAAUCCUGGCAGGCCCAUCAGCGGCAUAGGCAGGGCCAGAAACACAGACUCAGCCUUGCAGAACUACAUUGAGAUGCAGGUGAUGUCAUUUUCUUUUAGGGUUAAGUUCGUUUAUCACCUGUGAGGAGUUUGCCUCGUGAAAGAGCAACAGAUGGGUGAACAGUAUAGAGGCCAGGUUACUCUGUGUCUUUUGUAAUUGAUGACAAAUCUAAACUGCUACACGGGGCGACAAGAGCAAAACCAGAGGCGUCCCAAUGAAGAAACGUAGAAUGAUAGGUUUUAUUUUUUGCUGAAAACCAUGCGAUAUGAAAAAUAUUAUUUUUU